GAUGAACGCUGGCGGCGUGCCUAAUACAUGCAAGUCGAGCGAACAGACGAGGAGCUUGCUCCUCUGACGUUAGCGGCGGACGGGUGAGUAACACGUGGAUAACCUACCUAUAAGACUGGGAUAACUUCGGGAAACCGGAGCUAAUACCGGAUAAUAUAUUGAACCGCAUGGUUCAAUAGUGAAAGACGGUUUUGCUGUCACUUAUAGAUGGAUCCGCGCCGCAUUAGCUAGUUGGUAAGGUAACGGCUUUCCAAGGCAACGAUGCGUAGGCGACGUGAGAGGGUGAUCGGCCACACUGGAACUGAGACACGGACCAGAGGCCUACGGGAGGCAGCAGUAUGGAAUCUGCCGCAAUGGGCGAAAGCCUGACGGAGCAACGCCGCGUGAGUGAUGAAGGUCUUCGGAGCGUAAAACUCUGUUAUUAGGGAAGAACAAAUGUGUAAGUAACUAUGCACUUCUUGACGGUACCUAAUCAGAAAGCCACGGCUAACUACGUG
RNAcentral lists this ribosomal RNA (497 nucleotides) under uncultured bacterium. RNAcentral's name for it is "partial 16S ribosomal RNA". It matches the Rfam family "Bacterial small subunit ribosomal RNA", at positions 28 to 507 of the family's 1533-position model. The record is from RNAcentral.